RNAcentral lists this ribosomal RNA (585 nucleotides) under uncultured bacterium. RNAcentral's name for it is "partial 16S ribosomal RNA". The record is from RNAcentral.
CCGUCAAUUCCUUUGAGUUUUAAUCUUGCGACCGUACUCCCCAGGCGGUCUACUUCACGCGUUAGCUGCGUUACCAAGGAAAUUAAUCCCCGACAACUAGUAGACAUCGUUUAGGGCGUGGACUACCAGGGUAUCUAAUCCUGUUUGCUCCCCACGCUUUCGUGCAUGAGCGUCAGUGUUAUCCCAGGAGGCUGCCUUCGCCAUCGGUGUUCCUCCGCAUAUCUACGCAUUUCACUGCUACAUGCGGAAUUCCACCUCCCUCUGACACACUCUAGCCUUGCAGUCACCAAUGCAGUUCCCAGGUUAAGCCCGGGGAUUUCACAUCGGUCUUGCAAAACCGCCUGCGCACUCUUUACGCCCAGUAAUUCCGAUUAACGCUUGCACCCUACGUAUUACCGCGGCUGCUGGCACGUAGUUAGCCGGUGCUUAUUCUGCGGGUACCGUCAUCGAACCGUGGUAUUGGCACAGUCCCUUUCGUUCCCGCCAAGAGUGCUUUACAACCCGAAGGCCUUCAUCACACACGCGGCAUUGCUGGAUCAGGCUUUCGCCCAUUGUCCAAAAUUCCCCACUGCUGCCUCCCGUAGG